GGAUGAGCUGUGGAUAGGGGGUGAAAAGGCUAAAACAAAUCCGGAAAUAGCUGGUUCUCCCCCGAAAACUAUUUAGGUAGUGCGUCUUAUAUCACUGACGGGGGUAAAGCACUGUUAUGGCUAGGGGGUCAUCGCGACUUACCAAACCAUGGCAAACUCUGAAUACCGUCAAGUGCGAGUAAGGCAGACAGACAGUGGGUGCUAACGUCCAUUGUCAAGAGGGAAACAACCCAGACCGCCAGCUAAGGUCCCCAAGACACAGUUAAGUGGGAAACGAAGUGGGAAGGCAUAGACAGCUAGGAGGUUGGCUUAGAAGCAGCCACCCUUUAAAGAAAGCGUAAUAAGCUCACUAGUCGAGUCGUCCUGCGCGGAAGAUGUAACGGGGCUCAAACUGUGCACCGAAGCUGCGGAUAUCGAAAGAAUAUGGUAGGGGAGCGUUCUGUAGGUCUGUGAAGGUGUCUUGU
Molecule: ribosomal RNA, 464 nt
Filed under: uncultured bacterium
Lineage: Bacteria
Description: bacterial LSU rRNA
Rfam family: Bacterial large subunit ribosomal RNA
Source: RNAcentral